Molecule: ribosomal RNA, 254 nt
Filed under: uncultured bacterium
Lineage: Bacteria
Description: partial 16S ribosomal RNA
Rfam family: Bacterial small subunit ribosomal RNA
Source: RNAcentral
UACGUAGGGUGCGAGCGUUGUUCGGAAUUAUUGGGCGUAAAGCGCGUGUAGGCGGUUUGUUAAGUCUGAUGUGAAAGCCCCGGGCUCAACCUGGGAAGUGCAUUGGAUACUGGCAGACUUGAAUACGGGAGAGGGCAGUGGAAUUCCUAGUGUAGGAGUGAAAUCCGUAGAUAUUAGGAGGAACACCGGUGGCGAAGGCGGCUGCCUGGACCGAUAUUGACGCUGAGGGCACGAAAGCGUGGGGAGCAAACAGG